This is a long non-coding RNA of Asparagus officinalis (garden asparagus), 1003 nucleotides long. RefSeq lists it as uncharacterized. NCBI's taxonomy places the organism in Eukaryota, Viridiplantae, Streptophyta, Magnoliopsida, Asparagales, Asparagaceae. The transcript is spliced from 4 exons. The record is from RefSeq and is a predicted model, not a curated record.
AGAAACCCUAGAAAACCCAAUUCACUUUACAGCAACUAUGCUUAGAAAUGGGGCAAGUAUUUAGGUGAAGAUAGCCGCAAUUAUGGAAUGUAUCCACAUCAUUUGGAAUGGGGCGAGGAGCACUAUAAGUCGUUUGACGCUUUUCUGGUCAAAUGCUCAGAAAUUCUACUAGAUUCUCCCCUAGGAUCCUAAUCUCCCUCUCAAUCAUCUUGCUAUCUACCAAGGCGUGAAGUUGAGGAUGCAAGAGGGGGUUCAAUAUCGUAGAUGCUAGAUUAAGAAGAAGUGUUAUAAACUAUGAAAUAACACUGCCAAAGGCGAGAGGGAAGGACUCUCUGACAUUCCGCCGUUCUCUUUGAUUGAUAGAGACAAAUGGCCGGCUCUUCAUGCCUAUUUUGCUUCUGAGGACAAGAAUGUGUAUAAAAUUGAGGCGGCAUGCAAUACUGAGAACCGAGAGUCAAACAAGAAUGGUAGAGCAACCUAUACAGGUGGCUCAGGUGGCUUGAGAAGCAUGAGUCGGGCCAUGGAGGAUUGGUACAAUAGGAAGAAGGAUGAAGGCUUUAGUGAUUCUUGUUCUUGGUGUCAUGUUAGUAAGCUCAUGCUUUGCAAUGCCGAGGAAGGUGUUGAGUAAUGAAAUACAGGCAGAUGAUAAAGCAGGAGAGUCACAAGGACUGGUUGAUAGAGGAAAUAGUGAGAAGGUCGAUGCAGCUCGUAACGUUGUAAAUACGAACUCUCAUCAUCAAAUACCAGCACCAAAUUCUGGCUUCAACAACUGAUGAUUCUGUGUGUGUACAUGUAUGUUUCAUUACAUAUGAUAACUUAUAAGCAUGCAUUGCAUAUCGUACUGGGUGAAUGUGUUAGCCUUGAUUAGGAGUUUCUGGAGCAUGGGGCAUGAAGUUUGAUGAUGAUAGGUGUAGUCUAUCCGAGGUGCAUUGUAAAUAGAUAAAUGAUGGAUGAUGUACCUUUACCACCAGUUAUCUAUUAAGUGGACUAAUAUUAUGAACUG